AGCCCAGAGCCUGAAUCAGUGUGUGUGUUAGUGGAAGCGUCUGGAAAGGCGCGCGAUACAGGGUGACAGCCCCGUACACAAAAAUGCACAUACUGUGAGCUCGAUGAGUAGGGCGGGACACGUGGUAUCCUGUCUGAAUAUGGGGGGACCAUCCUCCAAGGCUAAAUACUCCUGACUGACCGAUAGUGAACCAGUACCGUGAGGGAAAGGCGAAAAGAACCCCGGCGAGGGGAGUGAAAAAGAACCUGAAACCGUGUACGUACAAGCAGUGGGAGCACAGAGCAAUCUGUGUGACUGCGUACCUUUUGUAUAAUGGGUCAGCGACUUAUAUUCUGUAGCAAGGUUAACCGAAUAGGGGAGCCGAAGGGAAACCGAGUCUUAACUGGGCGUUAAGUUGCAGGGUAUAGACCCGAAACCCGGUGAUCUAGCCAUGGGCAGGUUGAAGGUUGGGUAACACUAACUGGAGGACCGAACCGACUAAUGUUGAAAAAUUAGCGGAUGACUUGUGGCUGGGGGUGAAAGGCCAAUCAAACCGGGAGAUAGCUGGUUCUCCCCGAAAGCUAUUUAGGUAGCGCCUCGUGAAUUCAUCUCCGGGGGUAGAGCACUGUUUCGGCAAGGGGGUCAUCCCGACUUACCAACCCGAUGCAAACUGCGAAUACCGGAGAAUGUUAUCACGGGAGACACACGGCGGGUGCUAACGUCCGUCGUGAAGAGGGAAACAACCCAGACCGCCAGCUAAGGUCCCAAAGUCAUGGUUAAGUGGGAAACGAUGUGGGAAGGCCCAGACAGCCAGGAUGUUGGCUUAGAAGCAGCCAUCAUUUAAAGAAAGCGUAAUAGCUCACUGGUCGAGUCGGCCUGCGCGGAAGAUGUAACGGGGCUAAACCAUGCAC
This 890-nucleotide ribosomal RNA is filed under the name Escherichia coli. RNAcentral's name for it is "partial 23S ribosomal RNA". It matches the Rfam family "Bacterial large subunit ribosomal RNA", at positions 296 to 1194 of the family's 2925-position model. Lineage: Bacteria; Pseudomonadati; Pseudomonadota; Gammaproteobacteria; Enterobacterales; Enterobacteriaceae. The record is from RNAcentral.